CCCAAACCCAAACCCGCAGCACAUUUAAAAAUAAUUUGCAAAUUUAAGAAAUUAAAUUCCAACAUAGACUUUGAAUUAAAUUACAACUAAAAUUGAGGUUUCCAAGGAAAUUCAAACAUAAACUUUCAAGAAAUUACAACGUAGACUUUCAAGAAAUUAAAUUACAACUAAAAUUUAAGGUCUUCCAAGGAAAUUGAGGGAGACUAUGGGGGUAAUUAGGUAAUUAUAAAAUAUUUCGGGU
RNAcentral lists this long non-coding RNA (241 nucleotides) under Trifolium pratense (red clover). Its description in RNAcentral is "long non-coding RNA (TPRA_LNC002226)". The record is from RNAcentral. Lineage: Eukaryota; Viridiplantae; Streptophyta; Magnoliopsida; Fabales; Fabaceae.